Molecule: ribosomal RNA, 376 nt
Filed under: uncultured bacterium
Lineage: Bacteria
Description: bacterial SSU rRNA
Rfam family: Bacterial small subunit ribosomal RNA
Source: RNAcentral
UACGUAGGUGGCAAGCGUUGUCCGGAUUUAUUGGGCGUAAAGCGAGCGCAGGCGGUCUUUUAAGUCUGAUGUGAAAGCCCCCGGCUUAACCGGGGAGGGUCAUUGGAAACUGGGAGACUUGAGUGCAGAAGAGGAAAGCGGAAUUCCAUGUGUAGCGGUGAAAUGCGUAGAUAUAUGGAGGAACACCAGUGGCGAAGGCGGCUUUCUGGUCUGUAACUGACGCUGAGGCUCGAAAGCGUGGGGAGCAAACAGGAUUAGAUACCCUGGUAGUCCACGCCGUAAACGAUGAGUGCUAAGUGUUGGAGGGUUUCCGCCCUUCAGUGCUGCAGCAAACGCAUUAAGCACUCCGCCUGGGGAGUACGACCGCAAGGUUGAA